This 508-nucleotide ribosomal RNA is filed under the name uncultured bacterium. RNAcentral's name for it is "bacterial SSU rRNA". It matches the Rfam family "Bacterial small subunit ribosomal RNA", at positions 43 to 507 of the family's 1533-position model. The record is from RNAcentral.
CGUGCCUAAUACAUGCAAGUCGAACGCAUUGUGGUUGAAAUGAUAUGAAGAACUUGUUCAGAUUUGAUUUUCAACAUUGCAAUGAGUGGCGAACGGGUGAGUAACACGUGGGAAACCUACCUCUUAGCAGGGAUAACAUUUGGAAACAAAUGCUAAUACCGUAUAAUAAUUGAAACCGCAUGGUUUUAGUUUAAAGAUAGUCUUGCUAUCACUAAGAGAUGGUCCCGCGGUGUAUUAGUUAGUUGGUGAGGUAAUGGCUCACCAAGACAAUGAUACAUAGCCGAGUUGAGAGACUGACCGGCCACAAUGGGACUGAGACACGGCCCAUACUCCUACGGGAGGCAGCAGUAGGGAAUCUUCCACAAUGGACGAAAGUCUGAUGGAGCAACGCCGCGUGUGUGAUGAAGGGUUUCGGCUCGUAAAACACUGUUGUAAGAGAAGAAUGACAUUGAGAGUAACUGUUCAAUGUGUGACGGUAUCUUACCAGAAAGGAACGGCUAAAUACGUG